This 321-nucleotide long non-coding RNA is filed under the name Macaca mulatta (Rhesus monkey). RNAcentral describes it as "lncRNA (ENSMMUG00000060910.1)". The record is from RNAcentral. Lineage: Eukaryota; Metazoa; Chordata; Mammalia; Primates; Cercopithecidae.
CCACGCCUGGAGUCCACAGAACCGCUAAGACCUGCGAAUGGGCCCAUGGAGCUCGAGAAAUGCUUGUGAAUGACAUAGAUUGAAGCUGCAAAGAAGAGACGAGAGCACCUCCAGGAGGCUGACUGGAAUGGGACGAGGGUUGCCAGGCAAUGCUGGAUCUGAACUGGCCCUGGAAAAGCAGAAUUCCUGUUCCAUGGAACUGAAGAAAUAAGUGGUGGCAGGAGGAGGAGGAAGAAACGUAAACAUUGAGUCUUGUCUCCCUUCCAAACUGUGAACAAAGGGCUCAUAAUCCUCAUCCCAUGUCCAGCACGAGGCCCGCCU